This 1514-nucleotide unclassified non-coding RNA is filed under the name Leishmania donovani. RNAcentral describes it as "gene:unknown". Lineage: Eukaryota; Euglenozoa; Kinetoplastea; Trypanosomatida; Trypanosomatidae. The record is from RNAcentral.
CCCGUUUUCUCUCCGCCGCCCCCCGCGGCUGUCGUUUUGCUCACUUUUGUUUCGCCUUCGUUACCACCCCGCCGUAGGGGUAACGAGUUGUACGUUUUCGCCUCCUUCCCCCACCAUGUCCAUCAUGGGUUCGUACUCUUCAUCUCCGCGGGGAGGUCUGGGCUGGUGCUGCGCCAGCAAGACUUGCAGCCGUGACCCCGCGUGCACCAGCUCCCUACGGAUCGUGCCAUCGAUUCGACACGCGCACGCAUCCGCCUCCUGUUGUGCUUCCCUUUAGGACGACAAGCUGUGAGCGGCUUGCACGCCGGCACAUGCCCUAUCCACGAGCUGCCUUCCGCCUGACACAUGGUCUCCUGUGAGAGGCGCGUGCACACGGGAGAGCGUGGGGUGCCCCAUGCCGUCACACCGACUCCUUGUGUCGCUCCAUCUGUCGCCGGCGCAUGCGGGCAAGCGAUCCUGGCAACGGCCCCCGCGUGCCUCCCACACGCCACCGGCAACAAGGUUGUGCUGGAAGCAGGCUGCAUGAUCCGAAAGCGCGAGCACGGUGCUUGACGCGCUGUGAAGCACCGCUGGCAGGGUGUGCCCCAUGCCAGCGCGGCAUCCCAGAGGUCAGCAGGGCACGAGCGCCGGCCGACGAGAGGCGCGGAAAAGUGUGUGCCGAUGAGCCCCACAGUGCGUGUGCGCGAAACGUGCCGGAAGCAUGCCAAGAACACCGCGAAUGGCCGCAUGGGCACCCCCCCCCCUCCUCCCCAGGCUGCGAUGUGAGGAGUCUCCACACAGACUCAUGGGGCAGCCGCGGGCUGCAGCGACUAAGUGCGGAAGAUGGCAUGCACGCCAGGCGCAGGGUCUCCGUAGGGCGCUGGGCAGGCGCUGGCCAGCCUCCUCCCCCGACCUCAUGCGGGAUGCACCUGGACCACCGCCUACUACACACCGACGUCAGAGGCCACCGCCUCGGCCCUGGAGCAGGACCGUAGACGCGAUGCGCUCAGGUGAAGGCCCGCCGACCACCCUAUGUCCGUCUGGCGCCUCCGGCGCCGCAGGUACCCCGGACGGAGACGUGCAGAGGGAAGAUAAGAGCGCGUAAAGCACGUAGCCGCCGAUUUGGCGGCGGGAUGGUUCGUCCUAGACGCCGAGGGUGUAGCCGUAGCGGGAGCGUGGUGGGUGGGGUGUGGCUGCGUAUGCGCGUGUCUGUCUGGACUUGCUCGUGCUGGGCUGACACGAUGACGAAGACAAAAAGAAAGGACGCCUUGAGGCGCUCCUCUUCCUGGCUCUCUCCCUCUCCGUGAAAGAUGAGCGCAUGGACACCGUUUGGCACGGCGGCAUGGAUGAAUUCUGAUGACGUUUCUUUCUCUGUUCGAGCACGGUACCGUUCGUGCUGACCGAUGUUUGUGUUUGCUUGAACAUCUUGUCUCUGUGGUUUCGUUUUUGCUGUCUCGUUGGUGCGGUGUUGCGGGUAUGUCUCUGCAUGAAUGUUCUCUUGUACGGCUGCGCGAUGCUUUCUACCGAGAAACACC